This 253-nucleotide ribosomal RNA is filed under the name uncultured bacterium. Its description in RNAcentral is "partial 16S ribosomal RNA". It matches the Rfam family "Bacterial small subunit ribosomal RNA", at positions 524 to 776 of the family's 1533-position model. The record is from RNAcentral.
UACGUAGGGUGCGAGCGUUAAUCGGAAUUACUGGGCGUAAAGCGUGCGCAGGCGGUUUUGUAAGUCUGACGUGAAAUCCCCGGGCUCAACCUGGGAAUUGCGUUGGAGACUGCACAGCUAGAGUGUGUCAGAGGGGGGUAGAAUUCCACGUGUAGCAGUGAAAUGCGUAGAGAUGUGGAGGAAUACCGAUGGCGAAGGCAGCCCCCUGGGAUAACACUGACGCUCAUGCACGAAAGCGUGGGGAGCAAACAGG